CGUUAAGCACUCCGCCUGGGGACUACGGUCGCAAGACUAAAACUCAAAGGAAUUGACGGGGACCCGCACAAGCGGUGGAGCAUGUGGUUUAAUUCGAUGCAACGCGAAAAACCUUACCACUCCUUGACAUGAAGAUUAGAUCCUCCUUAACAGGAGGGCGCAGUUUCGGCUGGGUCUUGCACAGGUGCUGCAUGGCUGUCGUCAGCUCGUGUCGUGAGAUGUUGGGUUAAGUCCCGCAACGAGCGUAACCCUCAUCCUUAGUUGCCAGCGGGUAAUGCCGGGGACUUUAAGGGAACUGCCAGUGGUAAGCUGGAGGAAGGUGGGGACGAUGUCAAGUCAGCAUGGCCCUUAUGGGGUGGGCUACACACGUGCUACAAUGGUGACUACAA
Molecule: ribosomal RNA, 389 nt
Filed under: uncultured Anaplasma sp.
Lineage: Bacteria; Pseudomonadati; Pseudomonadota; Alphaproteobacteria; Rickettsiales; Anaplasmataceae
Description: bacterial SSU rRNA
Rfam family: Bacterial small subunit ribosomal RNA
Source: RNAcentral